Molecule: long non-coding RNA, 614 nt
Filed under: Musa acuminata (dwarf banana)
Lineage: Eukaryota; Viridiplantae; Streptophyta; Magnoliopsida; Zingiberales; Musaceae
Description: long non-coding RNA (MACU_LNC010795)
Source: RNAcentral
GGUCGAGUCCCUCGAGACUCACCUAUAUCGCGAUUCGCUAUCUUGCUUACGACAUAGAGAUGUCACCGGUGACCUGAGGGCAUGGUAUGCUUGGUCGAGUCCCUCGAGGGUAUAUCAUCAAAUCAGACUCAUCUUGUAGCGAAGGUGUUGACUUAACCGAGCAUCAUGGUUGGUCGAGUCCCUCGAGGCCAUGGUGAUUCGGAGGCUGAACAGGACGGGAAUCACAAGGAGUUGUGAUCGGCAAGAGUUGCCUACCUUUUAGGCUUAGUGUGAUUGGUCGAGUCCCUCGAGGUUACACUAAGACGCUGAUUGGAUCCUGAUCCCCACUAGAAGUCUGCCGGAGACUUCCGUUUCACGUGCUGAGGGUGUCGCGUGACUCGUUAGUAAAAUAGUGGGAGCAUAUUAAGAUAGAAGUCCAUAUCUUGAUAGUUUAUUUCUUGCAAAAUCUGCAUGUUAUUCAUUUCUACUGCAUCUUUAUUUUCAGAAAAUAUCACUUUCAAAUCCCUUACGUGGCAUACUUGAUGUCAACCGCCUCACUGGUCCAAAUUAUACGGAUUAGCUCCGUAACUUGAGAAUUGUUCUCACAGCAGAGAAAAUCGUGUACGUCCUUGAUA